Molecule: ribosomal RNA, 395 nt
Filed under: uncultured bacterium
Lineage: Bacteria
Description: bacterial SSU rRNA
Rfam family: Bacterial small subunit ribosomal RNA
Source: RNAcentral
AACGAACGCUGGCGGCGUGCCUAACACAUGCAAGUCGUGCGAGAAAGUUCCUUCGGGAGCGAGUAAAGCGGCGCACGGGUGAGUAACACGUAGGUAACCUGCCCCCCAGUCUGGAACAACUAGAGGAAACUCUAGCUAAUGCCGGAUGAGACCACGAUCCCUUCGGGGGUUGCGGCCAAAAGAUGGCCUCUACUUGUAAGCUAUCGCUGAGGGAUGGGCCUGCGGGCCAUUAGCUUGUUGGUGAGGUAACGGCUCACCAAGGCUGUGAUGGCUAGCUGGUCUGAGAGGAUGACCAGCCACACUGGGACUGAGACACGGCCCAGACUCCUACGGGAGCAGCAGUGGGAAUAUUGCGCAAUGGGCGAAAGCCUGACGCAGCGACGCCGCGUGGGUGA